RNAcentral lists this ribosomal RNA (465 nucleotides) under uncultured bacterium. RNAcentral describes it as "partial 16S ribosomal RNA". It matches the Rfam family "Bacterial small subunit ribosomal RNA", at positions 28 to 507 of the family's 1533-position model. The record is from RNAcentral.
GACGAACGCUGGCGGCGUGCUUAACACAUGCAAGUCGUACGGUAAGGCCCUUUCGGGGGUACACGAGUGGCGAACGGGUGAGUAACACGUGAGUAACCUGCCCACAACUUUGGGAUAACGCUAGGAAACUGGUGCUAAUACUGGAUAUGUGCUCCUGCUGCAUGGUGGGGGUUGGAAAGCUCCGGCGGUUGUGGAUGGACUCGCGGCCUAUCAGCUUGUUGGUGGGGUAGUGGCCUACCAAGGCGGCGACGGGUAGCCGGCCUGAGAGGGUGACCGGCCACAGUGGGACUGAGAUACGGCCCAGACUCCUACGGGAGGCAGCAGUGGGGAAUAUUGCACAAUGGGCGCAAGCCUGAUGCAGCAACGCCGCGUGCGGGAUGACGGCCUUCGGGUUGUAAACCACUUUCAGCAGGGACGAAGCUUUUUGUGACGGUACCUGCAGAAGAAGCACCGGCUAACUACGUG